UGAAGAGCGAUGAUGAAAAAGAGUAGGCUUUAAGAACGUUUCAGAGAGCGGAUGGUUGCUGAGAAUCCGUACGGGACUGGAGUUGAAUGGGUUUCUGAGCUUCUAGAUUGAACGACAGUAGGUCUAGCGGAUGUCUUACCGUUAAAAAAGACUAUGUAUCGAAACGUUUUUAUGGUUUCUGUACAAAAUAAGUGCGUUUAUGUAAUCGUAAACGAAUGAAGGUGGCACCACGGGUUACUCGUCCUUUUU
Molecule: non-coding RNA, 249 nt
Filed under: Halalkalibacter akibai
Lineage: Bacteria; Bacillati; Bacillota; Bacilli; Caryophanales; Bacillaceae
Description: Bacillus akibai T-box sequence
Rfam family: T-box leader
About the family: Uncharged tRNA acts as the effector for transcription antitermination of genes in the T-box leader family. T-boxes are found upstream of many aminoacyl-tRNA synthetase genes and some amino acid biosynthetic genes usually in Gram-positive bacteria.
Source: RNAcentral